CAGAGGUGGCAAGCGUUGUUCGGAUUUAUUGGGCGUAAAGGGUCCGUAGGCGGUCCGUAAAGUCAGAUGUGAAAGCCCACAGCUCAACUGUGGAACUGCAUUUGAAACUCACGGACUAGAGUAUGAGAGGGGUUAAGGGAAUUCCCGGUGUAAGGGUGAAAUCUGCAGAGAUCGGGAGGAACACCAGUCGCGAAGGCGCUUAACUGGCUCAUUACUGACGCUCAGGGACGAAAGCUAGGGGAGCAAACGGGAUUAGAUACCCCGGUAGUCCUAGCCGUAAACUAUGGUCACUAGGUGUUGGAGGGGUUAAACCCUUCAGUGCCGCAGCUCACGCAUUAAGUGACCCGCCUGGGGAGUACGGUCGCAAGGCUG
RNAcentral lists this ribosomal RNA (372 nucleotides) under uncultured organism. RNAcentral describes it as "bacterial SSU rRNA". It matches the Rfam family "Bacterial small subunit ribosomal RNA", at positions 526 to 896 of the family's 1533-position model. The record is from RNAcentral.